GACGAACGCUGGCGGCGUGCCUAAUACAUGCAAGUCGAACGAACCGCGACUAGGUGCUUGCACUUGGUCAAGGUGAGUGGCGAACGGGUGAGUAACACGUGGGUAACCUACCUCAUAGUGGGGGAUAACAGUCGGAAACGACUGCUAAUACCGCAUAGGACAUGGGAUCACAUGAUUCUGUGAGGAAAGGUGGCGCAAGCUAUCGCUAAGAGAUGGACCCGCGGUGCAUUAGCUAGUUGGUAGGGUAACGGCCUACCAAGGCGAUGAUGCAUAGCCGACCUGAGAGGGUGAUCGGCCACAUUGGGACUGAGACACGGCCCAGACUCCUACGGGAGGCAGCAGUAGGGAAUCUUCCGCAAUGGACGAAAGUCUGACGGAGCAACGCCGCGUGAGUGAAGAAGGUCUUCGGAUCGUAAAGCUCUGUUGUUAGAGAAGAACAGAGCAUAGAGUAACUGUUAUGCGUGUGACGGUAUCUAACCAGAAAGCCACGGCUAACUACGUG
This 502-nucleotide ribosomal RNA is filed under the name uncultured bacterium. Its description in RNAcentral is "partial 16S ribosomal RNA". It matches the Rfam family "Bacterial small subunit ribosomal RNA", at positions 28 to 507 of the family's 1533-position model. The record is from RNAcentral.